Molecule: long non-coding RNA, 809 nt
Filed under: Olea europaea (common olive)
Lineage: Eukaryota; Viridiplantae; Streptophyta; Magnoliopsida; Lamiales; Oleaceae
Description: long non-coding RNA (OEUR_LNC015128)
Source: RNAcentral
ACUUGAGAAAGGAUUCAGCCUUGAUGUAUACAGAUUCCACGGGAUCAACAGGAACAGAAGUAUCCGAAGGCUGACCACAACAAUCAAUUAGAAAUCAAACUACAAACCAGGCAAAUAAAACAUUGGAUCGAACAAAAUUAAAAUUCAAACAAAAAGAGAACUUUACAUUAUCCGUGGAAACUGAAAAGGUAUCAGGCACAGAUACUUCGGCUUCAAUCAAGCACUUGAGAAAGGAUUCAGCCUUGAUGUAUACAGAUUCCACGGGAUCAACAGGAACAGAAGUAUCCGAAGGCUGACCACAACAAUCAAUUAGAAAUCAAACUACAAACCAGGCAAAUAAAACAUUGGAUCGAACAAAAUUAAAAUUCAAACAAAAAGAGAACUUUACAUUAUCCGUGGAAACUGAAAAGGUAUCAGGCACAGAUACUUCGGCUUCAAUCAAGCACGUGUCAUUGACAAGAUACCCACCAUUUUCAUCAUGCAAUUCACUUAGAGGAAAAAACGACGUAAAGCCCCAAUCACUUUCUUUUGCAUGAAAUUCGUGUUCUGUUUCUGCAUGAGGCAACUCUGCUUAGUUGCUGUAUCUAAGUUUAUUCAAAGACAGAACACUGAUACAACACGGAGUGAAACUGAGUAGAUAACAUUUCAAAUUUGGGAUACUGAAACCCGUGAUUAAAAGUAGUUUAACAAUUAUAGACACUCGGAAAUAUAGCUAGGCAAUUUCAUCUUCCAGACUGCAUAACAAAGUUACGUGUCUAAGAUCAAGAGAUUUAAGUCCAUACCAUAGUUCAAGUAUUGUCAUCUCAAUG